This 108-nucleotide small RNA is filed under the name Arabidopsis thaliana (thale cress). RNAcentral describes it as "ATSL127790". Lineage: Eukaryota; Viridiplantae; Streptophyta; Magnoliopsida; Brassicales; Brassicaceae. The record is from RNAcentral.
AAGAGAGAGAAAUAGAAAGGUGUGUGCGCUUCAACCGACUCAGUGUCUCUCUCUCUCUCUCUCUCUCUCUCUCUCUGUUGCUAUUUGAGGUUUUUUCCUUUGCCUCGG